UACAGAGGGUGCAAGCGUUGUUCGGAAUUAUUGGGCGUAAAGCGCGCGCAGGCGGUUUCUUAAGUCUGAUGUGAAAGCCCACGGCUCAACCGUGGAGGGUCAUUGGAAACUGGGGAACUUGAGUGCAGAAGAGAAAAGCGGAAUUCCACGUGUAGCGGUGAAAUGCGUAGAGAUGUGGAGGAACACCAGUGGCGAAGGCGGCUUUUUGGUCUGUAACUGACGCUGAGGCGCGAAAGCGUGGGGAGCAAACAGG
Molecule: ribosomal RNA, 253 nt
Filed under: uncultured bacterium
Lineage: Bacteria
Description: partial 16S ribosomal RNA
Rfam family: Bacterial small subunit ribosomal RNA
Source: RNAcentral